This 305-nucleotide ribosomal RNA is filed under the name uncultured bacterium. RNAcentral describes it as "bacterial SSU rRNA". It matches the Rfam family "Bacterial small subunit ribosomal RNA", at positions 337 to 634 of the family's 1533-position model. The record is from RNAcentral.
GCCUACGGGGGGCAGCAGUGGGGAAUAUUGCGCAAUGGGCGAAAGCCUGACGCAGCGACGCCGCGUGAGGGAUGAAGGUCUUCGGAUCGUAAACCUCUGUCAGCAGGGAAGAACGGUCACUGUGCUAAUCAGCAGUGAAUUGACGGUACCUGCAAAGGAAGCACCGGCUAACUCCGUGCCAGCAGCCGCGGUAAUACGGAGGGUGCGAGCGUUAAUCGGAAUUACUGGGCGUAAAGCGCGCGUAGGCGGUAUGUCUAGUCAAGGGUGAAAUCCCCGCGCUCAACGUGGGAACUGCCUUUGAAACU